AACCGGGGGGCCUAGUCAUUUUUUACGGUUAAAAGCAGUUAAGAGUGAAAUAAAGCAAAACUAACCUGUAUUAUGGGGUAGAAUCUGAAUACUGGGGUAGACCUUAAUAGCUAUUUUCGAAGCUGCGAAACCCUCGAGGGAAACUGGGAUUAGAUACCCCACUAUUCGAGGGUAUAAAAAAUUUACCAGGGUACUACGAACAAUGUUUAAAACUCAAAGGGCUUGGCGGUGUUUUAGACCCCCCAGGGGAACCUGUCUCGUAAUCGACAGUCCACGUGAUACCUGACCCUAUUUAUUGGUUUGUAUACCGUCGUCGUCGGGCAACUUCCAAAAAAGAAGAAGUUGGCAACACACCGCUUAAGUUUGACGUCAGAUCAAGGUGCAGCUUAUAGUAGGGGGAGGAUGGGUUACAAUUAUAAAUUAUAUUACCGAGGUUAUUUGAAAAAUUCCCGAAAAGGAGGACUUGGAAGUAAGUAAAAAUAUAAAAACAUUCUGAAUACGGCUCUGAAAUGU
This 513-nucleotide ribosomal RNA is filed under the name Coralliophila squamosissima. Its description in RNAcentral is "partial 12S ribosomal RNA". The record is from RNAcentral. Lineage: Eukaryota; Metazoa; Mollusca; Gastropoda; Neogastropoda; Muricidae.